CCUACGGGAGGCUGCAGUGAGGAAUAUUGGUCAAUGGACGAAAGUCUGAACCAGCCAUGCCGCGUGCAGGAAGAAGGCCCUAUGAGUUGUAAACUGCUUUUGUACAAGGGUAAACCUGAAUACGUGUAUUCAGCUGAAUGUACUUUACGAAUAAGGAUCGGCUAACGCCGUGCCAGCAGCCGCGGUAAUACGGAGGAUCCAAGCGUUAUCCGGAUUUAUUGGGUUUAAAGGGUGCGUAGGCGGAUUGAUAAGUUAGAUGUGAAAUGUCCGGGCUCAACUCGGGAACUGCCUCUAAUACUGUUGAGCUAGAGUGUAGAUGAGGUAGGCGGAAUGUAUGGUGUAGCGGUGAAAUGCUUAGAGAUCAUACAGAACACCGAUUGCGAAGGCAGCUUACCAAUCUAUAUCUGACGUUGAGGCACGAAAGCGUGGGGAGCAAACAGGAUUAGAUACCCGGGUAGUC
Molecule: ribosomal RNA, 460 nt
Filed under: uncultured bacterium
Lineage: Bacteria
Description: partial 16S ribosomal RNA
Rfam family: Bacterial small subunit ribosomal RNA
Source: RNAcentral